ACUUCUAUAGCUUAAUGGUAAAGCUCUAAUAUUAUAAAGGAUAGAUGUUCGAUUCAUCUUAGAAGUU
Molecule: transfer RNA, 67 nt
Organism: Metarhizium majus ARSEF 297
Lineage: Eukaryota; Fungi; Ascomycota; Sordariomycetes; Hypocreales; Clavicipitaceae
Rfam family: tRNA
About the family: Transfer RNA (tRNA) molecules are approximately 80 nucleotides in length. Their secondary structure includes four short double-helical elements and three loops (D, anti-codon, and T loops).
Source: Rfam